GCUUUAUACUCUUCGCCGAAAGUAACCGCCGCGCCCUAGGGCUCACCCAAGAUGGGAACGAGUUUGAACUCAGUAGUCGUCUCCUGUGAACCGGGACACCAAAGUCGCUCAGGGUAGAGAGGAUCUUAGCCACGAUGGCUAGACUGUUGCUGGUGAACUCGGUGGAGUUUUUCAUAGAGGAUGUAAGGUUCUUCGAGACUAUGGAAGUCUUGGACUCUGACUGGUUAGGGCUGAUCUCAGCGAGGGUGUCGAAACAUGUCUCGUAGUACGUUAUGGCUGCGGUGAGCCACGUCUUGAGAUCUUCUAUCUUACCAGAGUUCAAGAUGUUCUUACCGUCUCCUACCUCCAUGGAGGAGACAGUAUCGUUGACACUAUCCAUCGCCACGUCUAGCAUCUCAUCACAAACACGAAGGGCUGAUUUGAUCCCCUCAUCGUCAGUCUCUUCCGCUAGCUUCUUCGGCAAGUCGGAGAUGGAAGCGAGCUCGUCGACCACCACCUUCAGGGACAGCCUGAAGAUAACCACCGGAUCCGUCGUGUUGGACGAUGGAAUCUUCGAGAUGCUAGAGAUACAAGCAUCAGGGAACCGAGUGACGCUGCACACGCUCUUGAGCGAAGCAGCUGGAGUCAACUUGGGAGUUGAGCUAGGGGACGAGCCAUGUGGAUCGUUUUUCUGGCUACGAGCAACGGCGACGGCAGCGCCGAUGAUAAUACCGAGGAAAACCACGACGGAGGCUACCACAAUAAACAAACGUUUGUACGCCUUUUUCUUCAAGGCCACUUCUUGAGCUUCAUCAUCUACUUUGAAGUAUCCUUUGGCUGAAUUUGGAGUAUCCAUACAAACCAAUAUCAAACGGUUCUAGGGUUUUUGGUUCGUUUGUGUGUGUUUAAUUGAUUAAGUGAUGAUGCGGCUUUAUAGUAGUAGUGGAAUGUGAAUAUUUCUUUGACUCUAUGCGUAAAUUCCUUUUAAGGAAAUGAUGAUUCAUUGUAUGCUGUCAUGAAUUAAUUCAAAUCUAUCUUCAUUAGAUAGUUUCCUUAUUCAGUUUUACCAUAUCUUAAAUUGAAUAUUGUAUAUUCAAAGCAAAAUAUUCUAUCAAGGCUGGCAGAAUAGGAGAAAGUCGAUUUAGUACAUAUAGCAUAUUGGUCGAUCGGUAUUAUUGUAUAAGAAAGGUUAAAAUAUUAAAUGCUCAAUUAAAACAAGUAAGGAGUUUUUCAAACUUCAAAGUCUAAUGAUCUUUUUCUGUUUCUUCAUCGAUGUCAAUUAAUUAUUUUUGGUUAUUUAUCGUCUGAUGUUUGGAUUUUAAUGGGCGGAAAUGUCUUCACAAUAUUUUGGUUAUUUUUGUCUGAUUGAGCAUUUUAAUGAAUGCUUAUGUUUAUGUCAUGAUUUUAUCUAAGAUAUCUACUCUAAUAUUUGUUAUUAAGUCUUACUCUUUUUAGUAUUUACUAUUUGGAAACUUUAAAUGUUUGGGAUAAUAACUUAAUGGUAUAGUUAAUGAGAUAUUGUGUUGAUUUUACAUUAAUUUUGGGAUCAGCUUCUUGCAGAAUACUACAUAACUUUUGCUGUCUAACUUCUAUAUAUACCAUUUGUUGAAAUAUCGUGCUCAAAGAAUAUUUAUUUGUAGGGAGGUUAAUUGGUUCAUUUGUCCUCUAAAUGAUUCAGAUUUCCUUUAUUGGAGGGUGCAUUUUGUCUCCAAUACGAAUGUGUGAUUUCAUGGUCUAGAAAGUCAAUAUAUGAAAAAGUGUUAUUACGGAUAUUCUCCAUAAAGUUGGAAACAAACAAACUUUGGAAACAAACAAACAAACUCUUACCAAAAAAAAAGUUGGAAACAAACAGCUGUUUAAAAGAGAUGGACAAACAGAUUAAUGCCAGAAAAAUGAGCUUGAUUAGAGCAUGGCCAACGGUUGCGUUCUACAUAGAGUUCUAAACCAAUUAGUUAAAUGAAAAAUAAAAAUUGCUGAGAAAUAUAGGAAAAAUGUGUCAAGAGUUCUCUGCACACACUCUUUAAAAAUCGAUUUGGAAUUUUCUUUGCCAACUGCUCACAUGUUACUAGUCUUUUUUUCAACAAUUAAUAAAAUUUUAUUAUCUAAUCAAAAUAUAUUUAAAUAAUAAUAUUUUUACAUUUAGUUAUGCAUUUUGAGUUUCUCUCUGUUAGAAAUGCUCUUAGAAGUUAGAAAGCACGUCUGAAUAUCUAAUGUAAUUAAUAUCUUCUCUCACGCCCUGAAGGCUAACUCAUUUAAAUGAAUCGGGUAACCAACAAAUCCAUGACCAUUAGUUGGAUUACUAACAAGUUUUGUUAAUUGACUAUCUAACAAGUUCUAGACUCUAAUGUCUACGCUAGUAUUCGAUGAUCCGCUCAAAGUACGAAAUAACUCAAGUAAAUUUUACACUUAGUGGUAUUUAUAUCUUUUGUAAGAAAACUCAUAAAUAUUGCAAAGGUUUAAAGGAGGGUCACUGGUACCGGUACCUUAUAAUAGACUUAUGCAUGUAUAGCAAGAUAGUUUCAUCUGUUUUAUAGCACACUGUCUAGACAUUACGAAAAUAAACAAAUAUGAAGAACAAAAUUUCGUUGACAACAAAAAGUGAAUAGAAAGUUCUAAGAGAUUUGUCCAAAAAAAGUUUGAAGAGAAAAACACAUGGUUUUUUAAUCGCGAACAUAAAACAUCACCAUUAUCAAUAGGCAACAUCUCUUAUCUCACAAUUCCAUAUUCUGAAGACCCAAAUUUUCCCAUUCUCUUAUCUCGUUUCCAAUACUACGAUCUAAGACAAAAUUAAAAAAAUAUGUAACGCUAGGAAACAAACAACAUUAUGAUUUAUUUAUUAAAUCAAUAAUUAUUCGACCAACAACAACACCAUGUAGAAGUAAACAACAAUAAUAUCUCACAGACCGAGUGAGAAAGGGAAACCGGUCGAAGCUAACCAGCCUCCACCACCGAUAAACUGACCAGCAGUAUAUGGCUCAGCCUCAGCAGCAUCUGUUAUUACCUUAAAGUCUUUCCACUUCACUCUAUCUCCAGUUCCAGCCCCUGCUCCUGUGUUCGCAUACUCUCUGUAUGUUAAAGUGUUCAACGCAAAAGUUCCGCUCCACUCGAACCACCCUUCGGGUCUGAUCACGUCAGAGAUAUCCGACUGCAUUAUCACCGUAUGCGAAUACUCCUUCCACGGCCGACCAAGAUACGUAGGAAAACUACUUUUCACAGACAGUAAAUCUGACGUGGCACCAAUCCGACAAUUCUGGAUAACUAUCCCGGUGUUCUGGUUAGGGUCAGUUCGUCCUUGGGCUGUGACCAUGUUUUUCUGGCCGGGGCCUGGUCGGCGGGCGUGGAUGUCGCAGUCUUGGAGAACGACGGCGGCGUUUCCGAAGAUGAAGUCGACGGUUCCGACGAUGAGACAGUAACGUAGCCGUAUAGUAGGUUUUAAUCCCGUCGACGCCGUAGUUCUUGCUACCGGAAAUAAUCGUCUUGGACUUGCCGUCGCCGUAGAUCAUAACAUUCCGCAUGUUCUUAUCCAUAAAAACAUUCUCCACAUAUGUACCAGCUUUCACGUAUAUAACAAACGUUGCGUUCGACUUCUUAGGGAUCUUCACCACCGCCUCGUUAACCGUCCACACGUCACCGGAUCCAUCAGCCGCCACAAUCACGUUAGGCUUUACACUCUUCGCCGAAAGUAACCGCCGCGUCCUAGGGCUCACCCAAGAUGGGAACGAGUUUGAACUCAGUAGCCGUCUCCUGUGAACCGGGACACCAAAGUCGCUCAAGGUAGAGAGGAUCUUAGCCACGAUGGCUAGACUGUUGCUGGUGAACUCGGUGGAGUUUUUCAUAGCGGAUGUAAGGUUCUUCGAGACUAUGGAGGUCUUGGACUCUGACUGGUUAGGGCUGAUCUCAGCGAGGGUGUCGAAACAUGUCUCGUAGUACGUUAUGGCUGCGGUGAGCCACGUCUUGAGAUCUUCUAUCUUACCAGAGUUCA
RNAcentral lists this long non-coding RNA (3961 nucleotides) under Brassica napus (rape). RNAcentral's name for it is "long non-coding RNA (BNAP_LNC002579)". Lineage: Eukaryota; Viridiplantae; Streptophyta; Magnoliopsida; Brassicales; Brassicaceae. The record is from RNAcentral.